AUGAAACGGAGGAAGAAGGGAAAGAACUUUGCAUGUGCAGUUAAGUUAGACAUGAUGAAAGCUUAUGAUAGGGUGGAAUGGAGCUACCUCGAAGCAAUCCUCCUUAAAUUUGGCUUUGGCAUCAACUUAGUGAGAUUGAUCAUGAAGUGUGUCACUUCGGUUCGUUUCUCGGUACGGGUGAACGGUAAACAACUACCCUACUUGACGCCCACGUGUGGACUAAGGCAAGGUGAUCCUAUGUCACCCUACUUGUUUUUGCUGUGUGCAGAAGGUUUUUCUUCACUGUUGAAAUAUUAUGGGCAGAUUGAUAGAGGCAUUCGAGUCAGUUUCAGAGCUCCAUGGGUGAAUCAUUUGCUGUUCGCGGAUGAUAGCCUUAUUUUCAUGACAGCUGACAGUUAA
Molecule: ribosomal RNA, 399 nt
Filed under: Triticum aestivum (bread wheat)
Lineage: Eukaryota; Viridiplantae; Streptophyta; Magnoliopsida; Poales; Poaceae
Description: partial small subunit ribosomal RNA
Source: RNAcentral